Molecule: ribosomal RNA, 520 nt
Filed under: uncultured Archaeospora
Lineage: Eukaryota; Fungi; Glomeromycota; Glomeromycetes; Archaeosporales; Archaeosporaceae
Description: SSU rRNA
Rfam family: Eukaryotic small subunit ribosomal RNA
Source: RNAcentral
AGCAGCCGCGGUAAUUCCAGCUCCAAUAGCGUAUAUUAAAGUUGUUGCAGUUAAAAAGCUCGUAGUUGAAUUUUGGGUUUGGCCGAUUGGUCCGUUCUUGUAACGAGUACUGGUCGGUUGGGCCUCACCGCUUGGUGAUGCGUAAUGCCCUUUAUUGGGUGUUGCGAGUAGCCAAGACCUUUACCUUGAAAAAAUUAGAGUGUUUAAAGCAGGCUUAUGCCGGAAUACAUUAGCAUGGAAUAAUAGAAUAGGACAAUGAUUCUAUUUUGUUGGUUUCUAGGACCAUUGUAAUGAUUAAUAGGGAUAGUUGGGGGCAUUAGUAUUCAAUUGUCAGAGGUGAAAUUCUUGGAUUUAUUGAAGACUAACUACUGCGAAAGCAUUUGCCAAGGAUGUUUCAUUAAUCAAGAACGAAAGUUAGGGGGAUCGAAGACGAUCAGAUACCGUCGUAGUCUUAACCAUAAACUAUGCCGACUAGGGAUCGGAUGAUGUUAAUUUUUAAUGACUCAUUCGGCGCCUUACG